GGCGGGGAUAGUAGAGUUUGUUGUUAAAGGUAGGAAUCACUAUCUGAAAAAAUGAAAAAUUGAGCAAGUAACUUCCUCCUAUGAAAUCCCAAGACGCUUUGUAGAACCCAGAAGUCAGACCAUCCGACCUGGCGCCUUAUUAGGGUUGAGCUUUAAGAAGGGCUGUUUUAUUUCUUCACUAGAUGAGAGAACAAGCAUUUGCUGAUGAUGCUGAGAAUUUGAUCAAAAAGCCGAGAGAUAGCAUAACCAAACUUUAGUGGAUUGAAGGUGAUUAUUUGAGGCCGGAAGUAGACCAAGAAUUGCCUUAAAGUGGUUAAUAGAGUGGGAGCUCAUCUCUAAAGGGUCUGAAAUAAUUUCAUCGGCCAUCACAAAAGAUCUGAUUGCACUGUAACUUGCUCUAGUCUGGCAUAUGCAAUGGAAGUAUGUAGUGUUUAGGUUUUCCUUUGUUAACCAGUUGAUUCUAGAUUUCUGUCUAAAUAAACAUGUAACGACCCGGUUUUCUUAACCGGUUGGUUUGAUUUCUCUUUAAUUAAUUUGGACUCAACCAA
RNAcentral lists this long non-coding RNA (548 nucleotides) under Brassica napus (rape). Its description in RNAcentral is "long non-coding RNA (BNAP_LNC014010)". Lineage: Eukaryota; Viridiplantae; Streptophyta; Magnoliopsida; Brassicales; Brassicaceae. The record is from RNAcentral.